GGAAUCUUGCGCAAUGGGCGAAAGCCUGACGCAGCAACGCCGCGUGCGGGAUGAAGGCCUUCGGGCUGUAAACCGCUUUCAGCAGGAACGAAAAUGACGGUACCUGCAGAAGAAGGAGCGGCCAACUACGUGCCAGCAGCCGCGGUGACACGUAGGCUCCAAGCGUUGCCCGGAUUUAUUGGGCGUAAAGAGCUCGUAGGCGGUUUAGUAAGUCGGGUGUUAAAACUCUGGGCUCAACCCGGAGAGGCCAUCCGAUACUGCUGUGACUUGAGUUCAGGAGGGGAGCGGGGAAUUCCUAGUGUAGCGGUGAAAUGCGCAGAUAUUAGGAGGAACACCGGUGGCGAAGGCGCCGCUCUGGACUGAAACUGACGCUGAGGAGCGAAAGCAUGGGUAGCAAACAGGAUUAGAUACCCUGGUAGUCCAUGCCGUAAACGGUGGGCACUAGGUGUGGGUUCCAACUAACGGGAUCCGCGCCGUCGCUAACGCAUUAAGUGCCCCGCCUGGGGAGUACGGUCGCAAGACUAAAACUCAAAUGAAUUGACGG
Molecule: ribosomal RNA, 544 nt
Filed under: uncultured bacterium
Lineage: Bacteria
Description: bacterial SSU rRNA
Rfam family: Bacterial small subunit ribosomal RNA
Source: RNAcentral